This 440-nucleotide ribosomal RNA is filed under the name uncultured bacterium. RNAcentral's name for it is "partial 16S ribosomal RNA". It matches the Rfam family "Bacterial small subunit ribosomal RNA", at positions 338 to 795 of the family's 1533-position model. The record is from RNAcentral.
CCUACGGGGGGCAGCAGUGGGGAAUAUUGCACAAUGGGGGAAACCCUGAUGCAGCGACGCCGCGUGAGUGAAGAAGUAUUUCGUUAUGUAAAGCUCUAUCAGCAGGGAAGAAAAUGACGGUACCUGACUAAGAAGCCCCGGCUAACUACGUGCCAGCAGCCGCGGUAAUACGUAGGGGGCAAGCGUUAUCCGGAUUUACUGGGUGUAAAGGGGGCGUAGACGGCAGUGCAAGUCUGGAGUGAAAGGCGGGGGCUCAACCCCCGGACUGCUCUGGAAACUGCACGGCUGGAGUGCAUGAGGGGUAAGUGGAAUUCCUAGUGUAGCGGUGAAAUGCGUAGAUAUUAGGAGGAACACCAGUGGCGAAGGCGGCCUACUGGACUGUAACUGACGUUGAGGCUCGAAGGCGUGGGGAGCAAACAGGAUUAGAUACCCUAGUAGUC